UCGUUCUUCCCAAAUCGAUCCCUUUUUAGCUCCCCUCGCCAUGAACUCCACACCACCAUGGAUGCAGCCUUCAAGCACCCCCCCUCCCUCCCCUCUCUACCUCCCUACUGAAGCGCGUCCUCACCACCUAGGUGGCGACGAGCUGCUCUGUGCCCUCCCCCGUCCCUGUGAGCUUGAGGCGACGGCGCUCGCACACCAUGCGGACGUGACACCAUUUUUUUGCAAGACGCCAUACUUCUUGCUAUGACUUUGUUUUUUAUUUUUAGCUGGUUGCAACUUUUUGAUUUGUCGGUUCCAGCUUUUUAUUUUGCCGGUUGUAGCAAUUUCAUCCAUGAGCAUCAAUCUUUGAUUCGUUGGUUCCAACAUUUUUUCCCAUCGGCAGUAGCUUUUCACUUUGCUGGUUCCAACUUUUGAUUUCGCCGGUCACAACAACCCCCCUUUUUCGAGAGUAGCAAAUCUUUGAUUCAUAGGUUGUAGCAUUUUAUUUCGUCAAUAGUAGCUUUUUGCUGGAGGAAGGGGAUCGAUGAAGAAUUUUUUGGCUACAACCAUGUACCACAGAAGCUUCAACCAUGUGUGCUGCGAGCUGUGUACACUAGAGCUACAACCGGAGACGCCCGUCGCCGACGAGGCUGCAACCAGCACGGGCGGUGCAACCGGUGUCCAGCGAGCUGCAAGCGACACAACGGCAAGCUUCAAACCUUGUGGGUCACCAUGCCGGUGAUGGUGACCAUACCGGUGAGGGGAGCUGCAACCAUGGUGUGCUGCAAAAUUGACGAUGACGGUGAGCCGGCGGCGGCGACGCCAUGCUUCCAUGGGGUGCGCGAUCUGCUGGAACCGGCUUUGGCCGCAAGCUCCAGUAGGCUUUCAGUGGAGCUGCAUCUCACAGAUCGAUGGGUGGCGCUGGGAACGACGGUGAGAUUGGAAGGGCAUGUGACAAUGGCAACGGCGAGCGGCGGCGAGGUGCAGCGAGCUGUGUGGACGGACGUGGAGGACGAUGGGGCGGCGACCACGCCGUGCGUGGAGCGAGCGGGAGGCUGUGCGCGUGUAAAUCGCUAGUUGUUUUAGGAUAGAAAAGAAGGAGUCAACGGCUGUUAGUUGCCAGAUCAGACGUCUGCGGUGCGACCGGCCGAAAUUUCGGCCGGCGCACCGACGCCUAUCACUCGCCUACUUUAUAAGGCUGCCUAAUUUAUUGAUCAAACUUUUAGCUGUUCACGUCUGAUUCACUCGGUCAAACUUUGUUUUAUUGAGCGGACAAACUUUUUUUAAUAGGACAAACAUGUGACUUGAAUGAAAGAUGUGUCAGAACAA
Long non-coding RNA from Triticum dicoccoides, 1308 nucleotides. RefSeq lists it as uncharacterized. The transcript is spliced from 2 exons. NCBI's taxonomy places the organism in Eukaryota, Viridiplantae, Streptophyta, Magnoliopsida, Poales, Poaceae. The record is from RefSeq and is a predicted model, not a curated record.